Molecule: ribosomal RNA, 481 nt
Filed under: uncultured Hymenobacter sp.
Lineage: Bacteria; Pseudomonadati; Bacteroidota; Cytophagia; Cytophagales; Hymenobacteraceae
Description: bacterial SSU rRNA
Rfam family: Bacterial small subunit ribosomal RNA
Source: RNAcentral
AAACUCAAAGGAAUUGACGGGGCCCGCACAAGCGCGGAGCAUGCGGAUUAAUUCGAUGCAACGCGAAGAACCUUACCAAGGCUUGACAUACACCGGUAACGCCAGAGAUGGGUGCCCCUUUGUGGUCGGUGUACAGGUGGUGCAUGGUUGUCGUCAGCUCGUGUCGUGAGAUGUUGGGUUAAGUCCCGCAACGAGCGCAACCCUCGUCCUAUGUUGCCAGCGGGUCAUGCCGGGGACUCAUGGGAGACUGCCGGGGUCAACUCGGAGGAAGGUGGGGAUGACGUCAAGUCCUCAUGGCCCUUAUAGGUGGGGCUACACACGUCAUACAAUGGCUGGUACAAAGGGUUGCCAACCCGCGAGGGGGAGCCAAUCCCAUAAAGCCAGUCGUAGUCCGGAUCGCAGUCUGCAACUCGACUGCGUGAAGUCGGAAUCGCUAGUAAUCGUGGAUCAGCAUGUCACGGUGAAUACGUUCCCGGGUCUU